Non-coding RNA from Echinostoma caproni, 82 nucleotides. Lineage: Eukaryota; Metazoa; Platyhelminthes; Trematoda; Plagiorchiida; Echinostomatidae. The record is from Rfam.
GGUCUCGUAGCUCAGCUGGUAGAGCAUGCGCGUACAAAGCGUAGGCGGCGUCCGCGCGUGGGUUCGAAUCCCACCGAGGCUA